This 1326-nucleotide long non-coding RNA is filed under the name Oreochromis niloticus (Nile tilapia). Its description in RNAcentral is "lncRNA (ENSONIG00000024289.2)". The record is from RNAcentral. Lineage: Eukaryota; Metazoa; Chordata; Actinopteri; Cichliformes; Cichlidae.
AUGGUUUGGGGUUUCUCUUUAACACCAGCUCCUGUCAUCAAUAAUCUAAAUAGUUUCCUCAGUAUAAAUACUCUUCCCUGUGUUUUCUGCCAGAUUGUCUUGGUGCAGCGAAGCAUUACGAUAUGUGAUCAUGUGUCAUUUUAUUUCUCUAAUCUUCUUCUUCAUAGUUCAUUAAAAACAAUCAUUUUGAACUGCAGUCUUGUGUCCAGUGUCCUUUAUGACUAUACUGACAAACCAUUAUACCUCUCACUGGAUCAGGCAGCCAUCCCAUCCUGUCUAAAAUCAGCCACAAUCAUCCCAGUGCCGAAGAAGUCUCCCAUCUCCAGCCUGAAUGAUUACCGCCCUGUGGCCCUCACACCGGUAAUCAUGAAAUGCUUUGAGAGACUAGUCCUUCAGCACAUCAAGGAUUACCUCCCCCCAGAAUUCGACCCCCACCAGUUUGCAUACCGUGCAAACACAUCCACAGAAGACGCCAUCGCCACAGCCCUCCACGCUGUGCUGAGUCAUCUAGAGCAGCGGCAGAGCUACGUCCGAAUGCUCUUCGUGGACUACAGCUCAGCCUUUAAUACAAUCAUCCCGGACAUCCUCAUCACCAAACUGAUCACUCUUGGCCUCCCUCCUCUCACAUGUGCCUGGAUAAAGGACUUUCUCACAAACCGGCCCCAGACUGUAAGACUCGGCCCUCAUCUCUCCUCCACUCGCACACUGAGCACCGGCUCCCCACAGGGGUGUGUGCUGAGCCCCCUCCUGUAUUCUCUCUACACCCACGACUGCAGUUCGACCCACAACAACACUCUCAUCAUCAAGUUUGCUGAUGACACCACGGUAGUCGGACUCAUCUCGAAGGGAGACGAAGCAGAGUACAGAGAGGAAGUCCUGAAGCUGGCAGCCUGGUGUUCAGAAAACAACCUGGCACUGAACACUAAGAAAACCAAAGAGCUCAUUGUUGACUUCAGGAGACACAGCACCGACUUGGUCCCCCUCUACAUCAACGAGGAGUGUGUGGAGAGGGUCCACACCUUCCGGUUCCUUGGUGUCCUCAUCUCUGCUGACAUCUCCUGGACAGAAAACAUCUCAGCGGUCGUCAAGAAGGCCCAACAGUGGCUGCACUUCCUGAGAGUCCUCAGGAAGUACAAGCUGAACUCCAACCUGCUGCUCACCUUCUACCGCUCGUCCAUUGAGAGCCUGCUAACCUACUGCAUCACGGUAUGGUACGGCAGCUGCACCAAGGCAGAUAGAGUGAGGCUCCAGAGUGUGGUCAAGACAGCACAAAAGAUCAUCGGCUGCCCUCUCCCCUCCCUGAUGGACAUUUAUUCCUCCCGCUGA